GGCUUACUCUUUUUCAUCUGAAGAGUCAUCUUCAGAAAUACAGGUUGGGGAAACAAUCUGGAAAAGAUAUGUCAGAGCAAUCUAAAGACGCUUCUUACCUUUUGGAGGCUUCGAGUGCUGGUGCCUUGUCUCCAAGAGUGCCUGCCCCAGAUGUAAACGAGGGUCAGGAAGUUAAAGAGGCACUGAGAGCACAAAUGGAAGUGCAAAGAAGACUUCAUGAACAAGUAGAGGUUCAGAAGCACGUUCAGAUUCGUGU
RNAcentral lists this unclassified non-coding RNA (256 nucleotides) under Hevea brasiliensis (rubber tree). The record is from RNAcentral. Lineage: Eukaryota; Viridiplantae; Streptophyta; Magnoliopsida; Malpighiales; Euphorbiaceae.